GAUCAUGGCUUAGGAUGAACGCUAGCUACAGGCUUAACACAUGCAAGUCGAGGGGGAAACGAUAUUGGAAGCUUGCUUCCGAUAGGCGUCGACCGGCGCACGGGUGAGUAACGCGUAUCCAACCUGCCCAUCACUUGGGAAUAACCUUGCGAAAGUAAGACUAAUGCCCAAUGACAUUUAUAGAAGGCAUCUGAAAUGAAUUAAAGAUUUAUCGGUGAUGGAUGGGGAUGCGUCUGAUUAGCUUGUUGGCGGGGUAACGGCCCACCAAGGCGACGAUCAGUAGGGGUUCUGAGAGGAAGGUCCCCCACAUUGGAACUGAGACACGGUCCAAACUCCUACGGGAGGCAGCAGUGAGGAAUAUUGGUCAAUGGGCGAGAGCCUGAACCAGCCAAGUAGCGUGCAGGAAGACGGCCCUAUGGGUUGUAAACUGCUUUUAUAGGGGAAUAAAGUGAGCCACGUGUGGUUUUUUGCAUGUACCCUAUGAAUAAGGACCGGCUAAUUCCGUG
RNAcentral lists this ribosomal RNA (506 nucleotides) under uncultured bacterium. RNAcentral describes it as "bacterial SSU rRNA". It matches the Rfam family "Bacterial small subunit ribosomal RNA", at positions 15 to 507 of the family's 1533-position model. The record is from RNAcentral.